CUCGUAGCUCAGGGGAUAGAGCACGGCUCUCCUAAAGCCGGUGUCGCAGGUUCGAAUCCCAUUCGAUUCCA
This 71-nucleotide transfer RNA is filed under the name Bradyrhizobium sp. WBOS01. RNAcentral's name for it is "tRNA-Arg". It matches the Rfam family "tRNA". From Rfam's summary of the family: Transfer RNA (tRNA) molecules are approximately 80 nucleotides in length. Their secondary structure includes four short double-helical elements and three loops (D, anti-codon, and T loops). The record is from RNAcentral. Lineage: Bacteria; Pseudomonadati; Pseudomonadota; Alphaproteobacteria; Hyphomicrobiales; Nitrobacteraceae.